This 92-nucleotide transfer RNA is filed under the name Chloroflexota bacterium. RNAcentral's name for it is "tRNA-Ser". It matches the Rfam family "tRNA". From Rfam's summary of the family: Transfer RNA (tRNA) molecules are approximately 80 nucleotides in length. Lineage: Bacteria; Bacillati; Chloroflexota. The record is from RNAcentral.
GGAGAGUUGCUAGAGUGGCCGAAUAGGCGCGACUGGAAAUCGCGUGUCCCUUUUAUGAGGGACCGUGGGUUCGAAUCCCACACUCUCCGCCA